GAAAUGCGAUAAUUAAUGUGAAUUGCAGAAUUCAGUGAAUCAUCGAGUCUUUGAACGCACAUUGCGCCCCCUGGUAUUCCGGGGGGCAUGCCUGUCCGAGCGUCAUUGCUGCCCUCAAGCACGGCUAGUGUGUUGGGCUUCCGUCCCUGGCAACGGGGACGGGCCCAAAAGGCAGUGGCGGCACCAUGUCUGGUCCUCGAGCGUAUGGGGCUUUGUCACCCGCUCCCGUAGGUCCAGCUGGCAGCUAGCCUCGCAACCAAUCUUUUUAACCAGGUUGACCUCGGAUCAGGUAGGGAUACCCGCUGAACUUAAGC
RNAcentral lists this unclassified non-coding RNA (314 nucleotides) under plant metagenome. Its description in RNAcentral is "partial contains 5.8S ribosomal RNA, internal transcribed spacer 2, and large subunit ribosomal RNA". The stretch from base 1 to 105 matches the Rfam family "5.8S ribosomal RNA", at positions 50 to 154 of the family's 154-position model. The record is from RNAcentral.